RNAcentral lists this ribosomal RNA (253 nucleotides) under uncultured bacterium. RNAcentral's name for it is "partial 16S ribosomal RNA". It matches the Rfam family "Bacterial small subunit ribosomal RNA", at positions 524 to 776 of the family's 1533-position model. The record is from RNAcentral.
UACGUAGGGAGCAAGCGUUGUCCGGAUUUACUGGGCGUAAAGAGCUCGUAGGCGGUUUGCUAAGUCGGAAGUCAAAACUACAGGCUCAACUUGUAGUCGCUUCCGAUACUGGUAUGACUUGAAUCUGGUAGGGGAUCACGGAAUUCCUGGUGUAGCGGUGAAAUGCGCAGAGAUCAGGAGGAACACCAAUGGCGAAGGCAGUGAUCUGGGCCAGUAUUGACGCUGAGGAGCGAAAGCGUGGGGAGCGAACAGG